This 207-nucleotide ribosomal RNA is filed under the name uncultured bacterium. RNAcentral describes it as "partial 16S ribosomal RNA". It matches the Rfam family "Bacterial small subunit ribosomal RNA", at positions 568 to 774 of the family's 1533-position model. The record is from RNAcentral.
AGCGCAGGCGGUUUCUUAAGUCUGAUGUGAAAGCCUUCGGCUUAACCGGAGAAGAGCAUCGGAAACUGGGAGGCUUGAGUGCAGAAAAGGACAGUGGAACUCCAUGUGUAGCGGUGAAAUGCGUAGAUAUAUGGAAGAACACCAGUGGCGAAGGCGGCUGUCUGGUCUGUAACUGACGCUGAGGCUCGAAAGCAUGGGUAGCAAACA